Molecule: ribosomal RNA, 500 nt
Filed under: uncultured bacterium
Lineage: Bacteria
Description: partial 16S ribosomal RNA
Rfam family: Bacterial small subunit ribosomal RNA
Source: RNAcentral
AUUGAACGCUGGCGGCAUGCCUUACACAUGCAAGUCGAACGGCAGCGCGGACUUCGGUCUGGCGGCGAGUGGCGAACGGGUGAGUAAUACAUCGGAACGUACCCUGUUGUGGGGGAUAACUAGUCGAAAGAUUAGCUAAUACCGCAUACGACCUGAGGGUGAAAGUGGGGGACCGCAAGGCCUCACGCAGCAGGAGCGGCCGAUGUCUGAUUAGCUAGUUGGUGGGGUAAAGGCCCACCAAGGCGACGAUCAGUAGCUGGUCUGAGAGGACGAUCAGCCACACUGGGACUGAGACACGGCCCAGACUCCUACGGGAGGCAGCAGUGGGGAAUUUUGGACAAUGGGGGCAACCCUGAUCCAGCAAUGCCGCGUGUGUGAAGAAGGCCUUCGGGUUGUAAAGCACUUUUGUCCGGAAAGAAAUCGCGCUGGUUAAUACCUGGCGUGGAUGACGGUACCGGAAGAAUAAGCACCGGCUAACUACGUGCCAGCCGCCGCAGUAA